GACAGAGGAGGCGAGCGUCAUCCGGAGUUAUUGGGCGUAAAGGGUGCGUAGGCGGGCGUGCGCGUCUGGGGUGAAAGGCUCCGGCUCAACCGGAGACAUGCCCUGGGUACGGCACGUCUUGGGUGCGGGAGAGGGCGAUGGAAUUCCUGGUGUAGCGGUGAAAUGCGUGGAUAUCAGGAGGAACGCCGGUGGCGAAGGCGGUCGCCUGGCCCGCAACCGACGCUGAGGCACGAAAGCGUGGGGAGCAAACAGG
RNAcentral lists this ribosomal RNA (253 nucleotides) under uncultured bacterium. RNAcentral describes it as "partial 16S ribosomal RNA". It matches the Rfam family "Bacterial small subunit ribosomal RNA", at positions 524 to 776 of the family's 1533-position model. The record is from RNAcentral.